This 253-nucleotide ribosomal RNA is filed under the name uncultured bacterium. RNAcentral's name for it is "partial 16S ribosomal RNA". It matches the Rfam family "Bacterial small subunit ribosomal RNA", at positions 524 to 776 of the family's 1533-position model. The record is from RNAcentral.
UACGUAGGGUGCGAGCGUUGUCCGGAAUUAUUGGGCGUAAAGAGCUCGUAGGCGGUUUGUCGCGUCGACUGUGAAAACCUACAGCUUAACUGUGGGCUUGCAGUCGAUACGGGCAGACUUGAGUUCGGUAGGGGAGACUGGAAUUCCUGGUGUAGCGGUGAAAUGCGCAGAUAUCAGGAGGAGCACCGGUGGCGAAGGCGGGUCUCUGGGCCGAUACUGACGCUGAGGAGCGAAAGCGUGGGGAGCGAACAGG